AAGGUUUUCUAGAAAAUUCAGUCUUAUGUAAUAAUACUGGUUAAAGUGUUUACGUAUAUAGAUAUUUUGUUGAUUCUUACUCUCGAGAAUCUUCUACAUUUGGAGAAUAGGCGGGUGUUUCGCAAUACCUAUCUAACAGUAUAAGCUAUGUAUGUUACUAAAUAUUAACUUAAUUUAAACAACGUUCAUAUUAAAAUAAAUACAUAACAACAAAUUCGUUACAACUUUUAGAUAAUUUUUGAGAAGAGAAAUGCCAAUUCAUCGUUUUACUCACCCCUGUACACUUGUACGCAAUGUAUCGCCCUCUUGAAUGCAGAUAGGUGCUCAUUCUCUUCAUUUGUCAUUUAUCCAUUAUUAGAAAAUAGUGGUUCAGUGAUUAUGAAGUGAAAUUAUUGACGGAUCAUGGUGUUACUGUUAGGUAUUAGGACAUUGUGAAUUAAUGUGUUCAAACAAAAUGUGCUUAUUUUGCGGACAACUUGAAAGCUCUCAAAUACCUUUAAUUUUAAACAAGUUAUCACCAUUUUGAUAUUCAACUUCAAGGUAAGGGAUGUAGGAAUGGUAAAGACUACAACUACAACUGUAUUUGUAUAGCUGAACGAUGUUUUCCUGAUAACAAUGACAUUGAAAGCUUGUGACGUUGUAAUGUGGAUUUCUAUCAGAUUUUUGGUCUGAUGCAGGAUAAUGUUUGCAUUCACACUGCCAGGAUUGAGAUUUACUGCCUUGAACAAGAAGUUAUAGAGAUCAGUCAUUGGUCAAUAAGAAUUCCUUAUCUAAAUCCCAUGCCACAUAUCUUGAUAAUGUAUUGACUGAGAAGCAAGAAAAGAUCUCUCAUAACAUUGGCCACACACUGAUUGGAAGCAGGCCUCACAAAUCAGAAAUUCUGCCAAUGCUGAAGGGCCUUGUUACUGAAUGUCUUUUUUUUCAAAUGUGUGUCUUUCAGAUAAGUGAAUUCAGUCAGACCCUAACUCUUACCACAUUUAAUAUGAGAUUACUGAUGCUCCUAGGGUUUCAAUAAGUGAUGGUGAUGUGUAUUAUCAAUGAAACUGAUAUAUCCUGUGAAUAAAAUCUAGAUUAUUUUGGAGGAAUAUUAUAAUAAAUGCACCAUAUACAAUGUACCAAAAAUGUUUCACUUUAUUAAGUUCUUCAACUGUGUGUUAAUGGCUUUCAAGUAUUUCAAUGCAUAGAUUACAAAAAAUGUUAUAAAAUUUAAAAAAUUCAUUAUAUUUACAAAAAAGGAAAAUUAUUUUUCUAUACUAAAAAAAGCCUGAAAAGAUCAAAAUUUAAAUUCAAGCUAUAAAACUUUGGGAGAAAAUGUCUGUGAAAAGAGAUGUACAGGGUUUUAUGUUAAAGUCCAUAAGGUAAGGAAUGUUAUUAUACUAUUCUACUGAUCUAUAUACUUAUCCACACAAUCAUAACCCCCCUUUUAUUAAAGCUUCUACAUAUGAACCUAAGGAUUUGAAUAGCCUUAACCCGAUGACUACCGGCUACUAACUAAUACAAAAUGGAAAGAGAUUUACAAAACAGAGGACCCGAAAGAAAUAUUGAACCUGACCUAUCAAAGCUGUUCUAAAGGGUAAGCCAAAUCCAUAGACAGUCAGAAACACUAUUAUAACAUGAAGGUCAAGGGUCAAUAUUUCAAGAUUGGACAGAAGGUUUUAGUUCUGUUACCUACAGACAACAACAAACUCACCUAGCAGUGCAAAGGAUCUUUCACAGUACAGGAAGUGGUAAGCAAAUGCACUAUAAUGUGAAAGUCAAUGGAACAACCAUGUCUACCAUACCAAUCUGUUGAAGAGGUAAUUAAACAAUAUUUGCAUGCUUUGCUAAAAUUUUUGAAUAAAAAUGGGUAUAUAUAUAGAAUGUUGGGAAUUGUGUAUCCAGAGCUCUUAAUAGCAGCAACAUCAAAUCAGAGUGAACUAAGGUAAUUUGCAUACAUAUUUUUAUAAGUAUUUUAUUAGCUUAGGUGCUUAAAAAAAUUCAACCCUUUAUUUUAUACUGUUUUUUUUAUCACAAUACUUUGACUUGACAGCAACAGUUAAAAGAUAAAAAUUGUAUCAUUUUCAUGAUUAAGUCUGUAUAAUCACCUAAAUUACUAAUUUAUUUAUUUUUACUAGAUACUAAUGUAAUAAUCUAACAACUUUACAGAUAAAAAUAGUAACCACAGUAAACUGGAGGACUGACAAUAAGUUUAUUGUUUGAUUAAGAAUGAAAUUUUGAUUUGACUGGAUUGAAGAAGAGAGACUGAAUACAAUGUUGAAUACAGUAAAACCUAUCUUUAGUCAAAGCAAUACAGACCAAAAUAAUUUGUGCAUGAAAUGUCAUACAGUGGUUAUAGAUGACAGGAAGAGAAGUUUGAAUUCCCAAUUAUUUCAAAGAGAUUCUGUUGUAGAUUGAAUGUAAAAAUGGACAUAAACUUUUUCUAUUUUUCAGGCUUGAAAUUGGUUUACUUCUAUGUAACAAUGUAAAAUUCAAAUCAUUUAUAGAACAAGUUGAAAAUACUAUUUUGUCAAAAUUGCUGUCAAUUUUUUAUCACUACUGGAAAAUUGCUAUUCCAAAUGGUCUGUCUUGGAGAAAUUCCAAAAGAGAGCCAUUUCUUUUUUUAUGUGUGUAUGUGUGAUUUCAACCACAGCUCUAGUGGUAUUUCAUUAUUAUGUCAGUUAGACUGGCCACUUUUAGUUUCAUAACAAAAUGCACAUAUCUUCUGUUAUUACUCAUGUUGAGGUAAUGGAAGAGUUAAUUCAUGUUGUUAGUUUUAUAUAAUGAAACUUUCAGUUUUUGCCAUUUCCUCUGUAAUAAACUUGUGAUAGAAUUUAAAACAUUUCCAUUCUUAACGUUAUAGACAAGAACUUUCUUUCUUAUUAUCUUGGCAAUGAUUCAUUUUAAUAGUUUUCUUCCUUCCUAGAUUCAGUAUCUACUGAUCAUCGAGUACUAAUAUUUAAUUUUAUCUCACUUGUUUACAUUAAGAAAUAUUUGCAAUAUUUUCAUAGUCAAGGACAGAGAGGAAUCAUAGUGCAUUAUACUUCAUUUAGAUUUGUCAGCAAGGCUGUUACCAGUAACUCUGUGGAUAUUUUGAACAAUUUGAUUUAAUAUAAUUGACCCUUUUUAAAUAUCUGCACAUAAAUACAUUCUCUCAAGUAAUUUUGUAUCUCUGUCAUAGAACAAAUUAGAAAAAGUAAUAGAUAACACAGUAUUAUGUAAAGGUGACAUGUUUAGCAUUUAUAGAUUUCUCAUUUCACCAUUGAGAAUUUAGUAUUUCUGCCAUUGAGAGUGAAUGUAGUAUUCAUCGCCUAUUUUCCUGUACAUUUUAUAUCAAUGGAGAUCUGCAUACUUCAAUUUUAAUAAAGGUGGUGUUAUUUUGGAAAAUAUGGUGAAAGAUGGUCACAUCAUCACAUUCCAAACAGCUUAUGUGUACCCAGUUUCUGAAACCUAAAAUAAAAUAAAGUUACUAAGGAGAAUGUUAUUGUGAUCCAAAAUAUUCUCAAAAUCUUAGUAAGUAUAAAAAUCUUGCUUCUAAGGUACAGAGACUUUAAAAGAAUGUGAUUCUGAAGAAUGAAGAAUAUUCUGGGAAUAUUUGCUGUGUAUGAGGAUUUUGUAUCUGUUACAGUUUUCCUUAAUAUAUGAAUUGUGGAUUUUGCAAAAAAUAAAAAAGUUGAAUUUGUUUGUGGACUUAUGGCUGAGCUAGGCUGGUUUUGGAUAAUUCUUUUCUUCAUCAAUAAAAACCAAACAACAGGGUCUUUUCUUGUGGUUAACUGUGGUCCAUUUGUAAUGUUCUUUACUCACUACAAGUGGCCUAUUCUAAUAUAGGUAAUGUUAUACACUUACCAGAUGCCAAUUGUGGCAGGAACAAAUCUUUAUAUAAUUAGUGUGUGUUGUUAAUAUUAUAAAAUUUUCUUUUAUAACAAAUGCUAGAUUGUGUAAUUUUAUCUACAGAGAGAAAUACCUUAAAUAACAUAUUUUAUGAGGAGUAGUAAGCAGUGCCCCUCAUUCUGUAAAUUUUCUACAGAGUUACAAAUAUGUAUGUAUGCUUAUCUAUCUAGUUGAAGAUCGUAUAAGGUAAGUGUUUUAUAAUAUUUGUUCAAGGCUAGAUCCCAUCUUCCUAAUAUUUAUAUUACCAAUUUAGUUAGAUGAUUUUCUUCUUGGAAACUUAUCAUUACACCAGGUGUUUGCAUUUGUGUUUGUUCAUGGGAUAAUAGCCCAGUCAGGCUUGGCCUUGUAUUGGUGUAAAAUGUAUUAUCCUUGUGAAUCUGAUUACCUCCACAAGAACUAAAGAAUGAAUGUGAAAAAAGGUGGCAUUAUAUUACAGUAGGAUUUUUAAAUUUUAAAUAUAUAUAUAUAUAUUUACUGUAAUUUUAAUAAUGUUAUAUUUCUUACAAAAACAUGUCACCAUAAAUGGGUUAGAGAUGAAAAAAAAGAAGAGUUUAAAAUCCAUGUGUCAUGCUUGUUUAAGCUUAGAUAAGGUUUUAGUAGUCAAUAUCCUCUCAGUCUGGUCAUGUGAUCCUUCUUCCUUUGAUGAUGAACAAUAUAAACUAGGUUGAAUCAGAUCUGAAUGUUGUUGCUGUAGUAGCUCUUUGAGUGCCACAUUUUGGUAGUUACAUAACCAACAAAUUUAUUAUGUAGUGUUUAAGUUUAUAAGCUUUUGAUUUUUUUCAAGGAACUAGUUUAUGUUUUUUCUUUACUGAGAGAUUUCAGAAAAGAAAGUGAUCUGUGGGACCAUUAUCAAUCAAUCUUUGUAGUUUUUCUCUAAGAAGUAUAGAGAACACUUAACAGCUACAUGAGGAUAUGAAUACAUGUAAAACUGCACCAAGUUAAAAAGUAAAAACAUGAAUUUUCAUUGGCAGGGUUUUAAGAGAGUAGCAAUACAAAGAAUAUAUUAUGCCGUUAUGUCAUUCAUGGAAUCUUUCCGAUUUUAACAUAACUUAAAAUUACUGAAUCUAUGUUUUAGCAUUUCUGAAUCAAUAGUUAUAGGAUUGCCAUUUAGAAAAGAAAAUGUAUUUAUAUUGAAUUUUAUUUAAAAAAAUACCAUUUGAAGAAAACAAUUCAAUAUAAUUAAAUGUUUAUACUAAAAACAGAAUGUAAAUAUGACUUAUAUUGUUUUGGUCCUAACUUUUAAAAUAUUUGUUUGAAUUUGUUUCGUGAAACUGUAUGUGCAUUGUAAUACAUUUCCAUUGUAGCAUUCAGAUGAGUGUUCAAUAUGAUGUAAACACUUUUGAACAUAAUUGCAGGAAACUAUUGUUGUGUUGUGAAUUUUGUUUAAUAAAAGGAAUGUGAUUGUAAGUUUCUAAAUAAA
Molecule: long non-coding RNA, 5287 nt
Filed under: Limulus polyphemus (Atlantic horseshoe crab)
Lineage: Eukaryota; Metazoa; Arthropoda; Merostomata; Xiphosura; Limulidae
Description: uncharacterized LOC111089820, transcript variant X1
Source: RNAcentral